This 418-nucleotide ribosomal RNA is filed under the name uncultured bacterium. Its description in RNAcentral is "bacterial SSU rRNA". It matches the Rfam family "Bacterial small subunit ribosomal RNA", at positions 355 to 772 of the family's 1533-position model. The record is from RNAcentral.
UGGGGAAUAUUGCUCAAUGGGAGAAAUCCUGAAGCAGCAACGCCGCGUGGAGGAUGAAGGGUCUAUGACUUGUAAACUCCUGUAAAGAAGGAAAAAAUUCCCAUUUGAUGGGAGAUGAUGGUACUUCUGGAGUAAGCCCCGGCUAACUACGUGCCAGCAGCCGCGGUAAUACGUAGGGGGCAAGCGUUGUCCGGAUUUACUGGGUGUAAAGGGUGCUCAGGCGGAUUUGUAAGUCAGAGGUGAAAUCUUACAGCUUAACUGUGAAACUGCCUUUGAUACUGCAAGCCUAGAGUAUGGAAGAGAGUGAUGGAAUAUCUGGUGUAGCAGUGAAAUGCGUAGAUAUCAGAUAGAACACCAAUGGCGAAGGCAGUCACUUGGUCCAUUACUGACGCUAAAGCACGAAAGCGUGGGUAGCAAA